RNAcentral lists this ribosomal RNA (315 nucleotides) under uncultured Acaulospora. RNAcentral's name for it is "partial large subunit ribosomal RNA". It matches the Rfam family "Eukaryotic large subunit ribosomal RNA", at positions 40 to 350 of the family's 3401-position model. The record is from RNAcentral. Lineage: Eukaryota; Fungi; Glomeromycota; Glomeromycetes; Diversisporales; Acaulosporaceae.
AUAUCAAUAAGCGGAGGAAAAGAAACUAACAAGGAUUCCCUUAGUAACGGCGAGUGAACUGGGAAGAGCUCAAAUUUAAAAUCAUUGGGGUUUCCCUGGUGAGUUGUAAUUUGAAGAAAGUGUUUUGAUAUUCGGGUUUUAUCUAAAUCCUUUGGGAUAAGGUAUCAUAGAGGGUGAGAAUCCCGUUCGUGAUUAAACCUCGGAUGUCACUUAAUUCAUUUUCUAAGAGUCGAGUUGUUUGGGAUUGCAGCUCAAAAUGGGUGGUAAAUUUCACCUAAGGCUAAAUAUAUGCGAGAGACCGAUAGCGCACAAGUA